AGCGUUAUCCGGAAUCAUUGGGUUUAAAGGGUCCGUAGGCGGUCUAAUAAGUCAGUGGUGAAAGCCCAUCGCUCAACGGUGGAACGGCCAUUGAUACUGCAAGACUUGAAUUACUAGGAAGUAACUAGAAUAUGUAGUGUAGCGGUGAAAUGCUUAGAUAUUACAUGGAAUACCAAUUGCGAAGGCAGGUUACUACUAGUGGAUUGACGCUGAUGGACGAAAGCGUGGGGAGCGAACAGG
Molecule: ribosomal RNA, 240 nt
Filed under: uncultured bacterium
Lineage: Bacteria
Description: partial 16S ribosomal RNA
Rfam family: Bacterial small subunit ribosomal RNA
Source: RNAcentral